AAAUACAAGUGAGAAGGAGAGGGGAGAGGGAGGGGAGAGAAAAAAGAAAGAAAAAUUUGAAAUCUGGUCGCCUUCCUAGUUUCUUGCCUCAUUACACUGUCGGGGGCAGGAAGUAACCCUCCGGGAGGGACCCGGUGACACCGAGUUCGUCCCGCGCAGAAACAUUUCAGUGUGAAUUAAAUAAGCUGAAAACAAGCCCAGAGCUCAAUCUUACUUCUACUAGCAACUACGGCUCUCGGGGAGGCUGCUCAGACCGCCGAGUCCACAGCAGCUACAACCGUGGUGUUCUUGAUUUUAUUCUGCAGAGUGAGCUCUCCACGUUUGCUUUCUGGAGGACCCAGGUGACCGCUCACCUCCCCUUCCUCCUGGAGCCCUGAAGUCGGAGGCCCUGAGCCAUGGACGGUAUCUGAGGAUCGGUUUAGCGUAUCUGGCCGGAGAAAUUGGCAACAUUUGCUACGAAUAAAACCCAAGCGUUUCCAGCAGCCAUUUUGAAUUAAGUUUCCCACCCGACAAGCCCUCGUCCCCUCCACUGCACAUCCAGGAUCCGGUGGAGGAGAAAGGCGCCGGGCGGAGAGUUGGGGAGGGCUGGUUCCUGCGGGUUCCUCCUAGGCGGCCGCGCGAAGCCCAGGCUCGGGGGAUCUCGGUGGCAGGCGCUCAGCUAACUUGGGGAAAGGACGUCCAUGGCCGUGGGGCCGACUGUCAACGGGCUGCACCUAGGGAUCCCAACCCCAAGGCCCUCGGAGAGCCGGGAGGCUCCUCCUCAGCUCCACGCACAUUCCCCUCCCUUCGCUGAUAGCCCCCACCGCCCCCCAAAGAAAGUUCCUUCAAAUGUUCCUGCAGUAGAGCCUUUCAUUUUGUCUCUGCGAAGUGGCAAAGCAGCUAGUAUUGCGAGGGGCCUAGAUGUCGCUUGUCUCAGCCCAUAAAAAAGAAAAAAAAAAAAAAAAGAAGAAGAAGAAGAAAGAAAGAAAAGCUUCUUCUAAUGCCCAAGGAGGUAUCUCAAGUCUUUUAUUAGCUCUCACAGCUCAGCUGGGAAUUUAACAGUUUGGGGUCCUUUACAAAGCUUCCCCAAAUGUUCUGUCCCAGAGCCUAAACCACUUGUAGUUAACUCUGCGGACAGAACGGUGGGAAUUAAACAAGCCCAUCGCACAAGGGAUCAGAAAAUAAAAUAAAAAGAUUAUAUAUAUUUUUUUUUCCAGCGAGGGAGGGUCAGUGUGUCCUGAUUUUUUAAAAAUAAAUAAAUAGAAAUAAAAGUUUCUGCAAAGUAAAAAGAGGUUCCCAAAUUCAUCGGCACACAGUAGGCACAAGUGAGUUUCAAAGGAUUCUACUAGCCCAGGGUCUAAUCGAAUGGCGGAGGAGAAAGCAGUAUAAACCGCAGCCAGAAAACAACCUCCGAGGAAGAGCACCCCGAAUUUACUUAUUUCUAAAUCCUGCAGGUUUCGCCUUUGAGCACAAAGUGCUAAAACAUCUAGAAGUUUCUUAAUGUGUGUAACAAUUCAGAGCAAGCUCCUCUCCUUGACUUCAGUGGUCAAACUCCCUAAAUGCAAAACAUGUUCCCCCUUGCUUGACCUGCAACUGUCCUGCUUUGGUUUUAUUGUGCAGUGGCAGAGCCAGCAUAAGGCUGCUGAGUAAACUCAGCAAGUCAGAACAAUCAGUGGCUUAAAAGAGAUUUUCCCUUAAACUAAAAGUUUCGUUACAACACAAAGGCGCCUGCAUUUAGAAACCCCUAACGCUCUCGGGCGAAAUCGAGCGAGGGAGGACUCCAGCCCGCUGAAGGAGUCUGAGAGGGGACAAGGGCCCUUUAGCCAGCUUCUUCUCAUCUGGGACCCCCUUGCGGGCACUGCCAUGGUGGAGCAGGGCACUGGAUGUGCACAGAGUGUGUAUGGGGAUGUAGGGCUUCAGGGAUGGCAGGCCACCUCCCCAAAUUAUCCAUGAAAUGUGAAUGAAAAGUCACCAAAGAUGUACCUCCAAUCCAGAGAACUCUGACUUUCCUCUUACCAAGGGCACAGAGAAAGAGGGAAGCGUUGAGUCUCAACUACUUAACCUGCUGCCCAUUGUACCUAC
This 2061-nucleotide long non-coding RNA is filed under the name Homo sapiens (human). RNAcentral's name for it is "HSALNT0033038". The record is from RNAcentral. Lineage: Eukaryota; Metazoa; Chordata; Mammalia; Primates; Hominidae.